RNAcentral lists this long non-coding RNA (568 nucleotides) under Sarcophilus harrisii (Tasmanian devil). RNAcentral's name for it is "lncRNA (ENSSHAG00000032046.1)". Lineage: Eukaryota; Metazoa; Chordata; Mammalia; Dasyuromorphia; Dasyuridae. The record is from RNAcentral.
GGUGGGUUCAUCAAGGACAGAUGUUUGCUACUUCUGCCCCUACCUCGUUCUACCAAGCUUGGCGUUGCUAAGUUCACUGGGACCUUCCCAGGCAUCAGCUGAGCGGGGCCAACUGAGCGCUAAGCCUACACUGGAGAAAACGACUAGGCUCUCAGGAGCGUGGAGAAGGGCAUUUACUACAGCCCAGGGGCUGGCCUGGGCUGACUGAUGUCAGAACUAUCCCACGGUGGCCGUUUUGUGGUGUUUGGACAAAGCGAGUGCUGGCAGUGGGUCCAAACGCCCCGCCUCCUAAACUGUAGCUUUGGAGCCAAGCGCUGCUGGAUUUCGAUCAACUUGCAGCUGCUGGGGCAAGACCCAACGUUUUCUUUGGACUCAUCUUCAUCACAAGGAGUAGAACUUGAACGAGUUCGAUUCCAAAGAUUAUAAACCGCUAGAGGAGAAGGGCCGAGGCACUUCGGUUGGGACAUCCUCGGCAUUCAACUCCAAGUCUGGCGCAGAAUAAGCUCUUAUUAAAUGCUCAGGAAUGGAACAAAUAAAAAUGAGUGAAUAAAUUGAAAUGGGAAAGCUG